Molecule: ribosomal RNA, 279 nt
Filed under: uncultured bacterium
Lineage: Bacteria
Description: partial 16S ribosomal RNA
Rfam family: Bacterial small subunit ribosomal RNA
Source: RNAcentral
UGCCAGCCGCCGCGGUAAUACGGAGGGGGCGAGCGUUGUUCGGAAUUACUGGGCGUAAAGGGUGCGCAGGCGGCGUCGCCAGUCAGGUGUGAAAUCCCCGGGCUCAACCCGGGAACUGCACUUGAUACUGCGAUGCUAGAGUUCGGAAGAGGGUAGUGGAAUUCCGAGUGUAGAGGUGAAAUUCGUAGAUAUUCGGAGGAACACCAGUGGCGAAGGCGGCUCACUGGCUCGAUACUGACGCUGAGGUGCGAAAGCGUGGGGAGCAAACAGGAUUAGAUA